GACGAACGCUGGCGGCGUGCUUAACACAUGCAAGUCGAACGGAAAGGCCCUGCUUUUGUGGGGUGCUCGAGUGGCGAACGGGUGAGUAACACGUGAGUAACCUGCCCUUGACUUUGGGAUAACUUCAGGAAACUGGGGCUAAUACCGGAUAGGAGCUCCUGCUGCAUGGUGGGGGUUGGAAAGUUUCGGCGGUUGGGGAUGGACUCGCGGCUUAUCAGCUUGUUGGUGGGGUAGUGGCUUACCAAGGCUUUGACGGGUAGCCGGCCUGAGAGGGUGACCGGCCACAUUGGGCCUGAGAUACGGCCCAGACUCCUACGGGAGGCAGCAGUGGGGAAUAUUGCACAAUGGGCGGAAGCCUGAUGCAGCAACGCCGCGUGCGGGAUGACGGCCUUCGGGUUGUAAACUGCUUUCGCCUGUGACGAAGCGUGAGUGACGGUAAUGGGUAAAGAAGCACCGGCUAACUACGUG
RNAcentral lists this ribosomal RNA (468 nucleotides) under uncultured bacterium. Its description in RNAcentral is "partial 16S ribosomal RNA". It matches the Rfam family "Bacterial small subunit ribosomal RNA", at positions 28 to 507 of the family's 1533-position model. The record is from RNAcentral.